GCAAGUCGAACGCUUCUUUCCUCCCGAGUGCUUGCACUCAAUUGGAAAGAGGAGUGGCGGACGGGUGAGUAACACGUGGGUAACCUACCCAUCAGAGGGGGAUAACACUUGGAAACAGGUGCUAAUACCGCAUAACAGUUUAUGCCGCAUGGCAUAAGAGUGAAAGGCGCUUUCGGGUGUCGCUGAUGGAUGGACCCGCGGUGCAUUAGCUAGUUGGUGAGGUAACGGCUCACCAAGGCCACGAUGCAUAGCCGACCUGAGAGGGUGAUCGGCCACACUGGGACUGAGACACGGCCCAGACUCCUACGGGAGGCAGCAGUAGGGAAUCUUCGGCAAUGGACGAAAGUCUGACCGAGCAACGCCGCGUGAGUGAAGAAGGUUUUCGGAUCGUAAAACUCUGUUGUUAGAGAAGAACAAGGACGUUAGUAACUGAACGUCCCCUGACGGUAUCUAACCAGAAAGCCACGGCUAACUACGU
Molecule: ribosomal RNA, 478 nt
Filed under: Enterococcus faecalis
Lineage: Bacteria; Bacillati; Bacillota; Bacilli; Lactobacillales; Enterococcaceae
Description: bacterial SSU rRNA
Rfam family: Bacterial small subunit ribosomal RNA
Source: RNAcentral